GGGGAAUUUUGGGCAAUGGGCGAAAGCCUGAUCCAGCAAUGCCGCGUGUGUGAAGAAGGCCUUCGGGUUGUAAAGCACUUUUGUUCGGGAAGAAAAGGACUUGGCUAAUAUCUAGGUCUGAUGACGGUACCGGAAGAAUAAGCACCGGCUAACUACGUGCCAGCAGCCGCGGUAAUACGUAGGGUGCAAGCGUUAAUCGGAAUUACUGGGCGUAAAGCGUGCGCAGGCGGUUCGUUAAGACAGAUGUGAAAUCCCCGGGCUCAACCUGGGAACUGCAUUUGUGACUGGCAAGCUAGAGUAUGGCAGAGGGGGGUGGAAUUCCGCGUGUAGCAGUGAAAUGCGUAGAUAUGCGGAGGAACACCGACGGCGAAGGCAGCCCCCUGGGCCAAUACUGACGCUCAUGCACGAAAGCGUGGGGAGCAAAC
RNAcentral lists this ribosomal RNA (425 nucleotides) under uncultured bacterium. RNAcentral's name for it is "bacterial SSU rRNA". It matches the Rfam family "Bacterial small subunit ribosomal RNA", at positions 356 to 773 of the family's 1533-position model. The record is from RNAcentral.